GGGAAGGUAGCUCAGUGGUAGAGUGUUUGCCUUGCAUGCAUGAGGCCCUGGGCUCAAUUCCUCAUUACCA
This 70-nucleotide transfer RNA is filed under the name Dipodomys ordii (Ord's kangaroo rat). It matches the Rfam family "tRNA". From Rfam's summary of the family: Transfer RNA (tRNA) molecules are approximately 80 nucleotides in length. Their secondary structure includes four short double-helical elements and three loops (D, anti-codon, and T loops). Further hydrogen bonds mediate the characteristic L-shaped molecular structure. tRNAs have two regions of fundamental functional importance: the anti-codon, which is responsible for specific mRNA codon recognition, and the 3' end, to which the tRNAs corresponding amino acid is attached (by aminoacyl-tRNA synthetases). tRNAs cope with the degeneracy of the genetic code in two manners: having more than one tRNA (with a specific anti-codon) for a particular amino acid; and 'wobble' base-pairing, i.e. permitting non-standard base-pairing at the 3rd anti-codon position. Lineage: Eukaryota; Metazoa; Chordata; Mammalia; Rodentia; Heteromyidae. The record is from Rfam by way of RNAcentral.